Molecule: ribosomal RNA, 254 nt
Filed under: uncultured bacterium
Lineage: Bacteria
Description: partial 16S ribosomal RNA
Rfam family: Bacterial small subunit ribosomal RNA
Source: RNAcentral
UACGGAGGGUGCAAGCGUUUAUCCGGAUUCACUGGGUUUAAAGGGUGCGUAGGCGGGUUGGUAAGUCCGUGGUGAAAUCUCCGAGCUUAACUCGGAAACUGCCGUGGAUACUAUCAAUCUUGAAUAUCGUGGAGGUAAGCGGAAUAUGUCAUGUAGCGGUGAAAUGCUUAGAUAUGACAUAGAACACCAAUUGCGUAGGCAGCUUACUACACGAUGAUUGACGCUGAGGCACGAAAGCUAGGGGAGCAAACAGG